This 328-nucleotide ribosomal RNA is filed under the name uncultured eukaryote. RNAcentral describes it as "partial 18S ribosomal RNA". It matches the Rfam family "Eukaryotic small subunit ribosomal RNA", at positions 1470 to 1796 of the family's 1831-position model. The record is from RNAcentral.
CCCUUAGAUGUCCGGGGCUGCACGCGCGCUACACUGAAGGAAUCAGCGUGCUAAAACCAUUGUCGAAAGGCAUUGGUAAACCCAUUAAAAUCCUACGUGAUUGGGAUCGGGAAUUGCAAUUAUUUCCCUUGAACGAGGAAUUCCCAGUAAGUGUGGGUCAUAAGCUCGCGUUGAUUACGUCCCUGCCCUUUGUACACACCGCCCGGCGCUGCCCGGGACUGAGCCGUUUCGAGAAAAGCGGGGACUGCUGCUGUCGGGGCUUUCGGGCCUUGGCUUCGGUGGAAACCGCUUUAAUCGCAGUGGCUUGAACCGGGCAAAAGUCGUAACA